Molecule: long non-coding RNA, 854 nt
Organism: Solanum dulcamara
Lineage: Eukaryota; Viridiplantae; Streptophyta; Magnoliopsida; Solanales; Solanaceae
Exons: 2
Source: RefSeq, a predicted model, not a curated record
CAAACCGAGCUCAUUUCCCCUUUUAAUUCCGGUUACUUUUCUUUGUCUUUUCCAAAUACAACAAAACAUACAGCUCCAGUACACACCCUAUACCUACAUACGCGUCUUCUUCCUCACGCUCGCUCAAAGACAAACGCAACCUACAACACCAACAGCUCUUUCCCUACAAAAAACCCCAAAUGCGUCGGAUUUGAAGGUCAUCCAUCCCCCUCAAGUCAAAUAUUGGAGCAGGUAAUCCUAUCCCUUUGUCAUCUUUUUCCUCCUACUUUUCUUAAUCUGUGAUAUUUUGAAUUCAAACAAGAUCUUGGAGAAGAUUUUCUCCUCUCUCAAACGGCUCUUUUGAAAUUCAAGCACUAUUUUCGGCUAUAAAUUGUUCACUCAUUUCCAUUGAGAAGGGGGAAAUGGUAGAGAGAACUUGGGAAAUAUUGGAGUUCUCCAUACUUUUUCAUGCACUAAUUUAUCUAUUGUUCUUUUUGCUUUCUCUGAUUUCCGACCCAAUCGCUCCGCUCUUGUUGUCUUCUUUACUAGCACUCUAAAUUGAUAUGGAAAUUAUCCACUCAACUUGUCGUCUCAAGUUCACUGCCCAGAGAAAGGCCUAAAUGGCUAGAGAAUCAGUAGUCAACAGCAGCCGUCCAAAUAAUGAAGGAAGCAAUAAACUGAUGCGGAGGGUGCAAUCAACUUGAGAUCAUCCAUUUCUUUUCUCUCUCUCUCUCUCUACAUAUAUAUAUCUUUCCUUGCCUUUUAAUUUCAUGAUAUUUGUUGCUAACCCUUUUAACAUUUUUAUUAACUUAGAUGAAUCCUUGGGAGAUUUUUAUUUGUCACUUUUUAACUAUUUCAUUAUUCAUUUACUUUAA